This 480-nucleotide ribosomal RNA is filed under the name uncultured bacterium. RNAcentral's name for it is "bacterial SSU rRNA". It matches the Rfam family "Bacterial small subunit ribosomal RNA", at positions 30 to 497 of the family's 1533-position model. The record is from RNAcentral.
AUUGAACGCUGGCGGCAGGCCUAACACAUGCAAGUCGAACGGUAACAGGAAGCAGCUUGCUGCUUCGCUGACGAGUGGCGGACGGGUGAGUAAUGUCUGGGAAACUGCCUGAUGGAGGGGGAUAACUACUGGAAACGGUAGCUAAUACCGCAUAACGUCGCAAGACCAAAGAGGGGGACCUUAGGGCCUCUUGCCAUCGGAUGUGCCCAGAUGGGAUUAGCUAGUAGGUGGGGUAACGGCUCACCUAGGCGACGAUCCCUAGCUGGUCUGAGAGGAUGACCAGCCACACUGGAACUGAGACACGGUCCAGACUCCUACGGGAGGCAGCAGUGGGGAAUAUUGCACAAUGGGCGCAAGCCUGAUGCAGCCAUGCCGCGUGUAUGAAGAAGGCCUUCGGGUUGUAAAGUACUUUCAGCGGGGAGGAAGGGAGUAAAGUUAAUACCUUUGCUCAAUGACGUUACCCGCAGAAGAAGCACCGGC